GGGCGCGUGGCUCAGGGGAUAGAGCAAUAGAUUCCGGUUCUAUAGGUCGUGUGUUCAAAUCACACCGCGCUCA
RNAcentral lists this transfer RNA (73 nucleotides) under Pleurocapsa sp. CCALA 161. It matches the Rfam family "tRNA". From Rfam's summary of the family: Transfer RNA (tRNA) molecules are approximately 80 nucleotides in length. Their secondary structure includes four short double-helical elements and three loops (D, anti-codon, and T loops). The record is from Rfam by way of RNAcentral. Lineage: Bacteria; Bacillati; Cyanobacteriota; Cyanophyceae; Pleurocapsales; Pleurocapsaceae.